RNAcentral lists this ribosomal RNA (383 nucleotides) under uncultured bacterium. RNAcentral's name for it is "bacterial SSU rRNA". It matches the Rfam family "Bacterial small subunit ribosomal RNA", at positions 28 to 419 of the family's 1533-position model. The record is from RNAcentral.
GACGAACGCUUGCGGCGUGCCUAAGAAAUGCAAGUCGAACGGACAGUAGCAAUACUGUUAGUGGCGAACGGUCGCGUAACACGUAGGCAACCUGCCUCGAAGUGGGGGACAACAGCCUGAAAGGGCUGCUAAUACCGCAUGUGGACAACGGGAGGCAUCUUCUGUUGUCCAAAGCCUUGUGCGCUUCGAGAUGGGCUUGCGGCCUAUCAGGUAGUUGGUGGGGUAAUGGCCUACCAAGCCGACGACGGGUAGCUGGUCUGAGAGGACGAUCAGCCGGAUUGGGACUGAGAUACGGCCCAGACUCCUACGGGGGCAGCAAUUAGGAAUCUUGCGCAAUGGGGAAACCCUGACGCAGCGACGCCGCGUGUGGGAUGACGGCCUGG